Molecule: ribosomal RNA, 422 nt
Filed under: uncultured bacterium
Lineage: Bacteria
Description: bacterial SSU rRNA
Rfam family: Bacterial small subunit ribosomal RNA
Source: RNAcentral
UGAGGAAUAUUGGGCAAUGCCCGCAAGGGUGACCCAGCAACGCCGCGUGGAGGAUGAAUGUCGUAAGAUUGUAAACUCCUGUUAGAGGGGAAGAAUAGUACCGGUUGGACCGGUAUAUGACUGUACCCUCAGAGAAAGCCCCGGCUAACUACGUGCCAGCAGCCGCGGUAAUACGUAGGGGGCAAGCGUUGUCCGGAUUUACUGGGUGUAAAGGGCGCGCAGGCGGGAUAAAAAGUCAGUGGUGAAAUCCUACAGCUUAACUGUAGAACUGCCUUUGAUACUUUUAUUCUUGAGUUCGGGAGAGAGAGACGGAAUUCCAGGUGUAGUGGUGAAAUACGUAGAUAUCUGGAAGAACACCAGUUGCGAAGGCGGUCUCUUGGUCCGAUACUGACGCUGAGGCGCGAAAGCGUGGGGAGCAAACA